Molecule: long non-coding RNA, 373 nt
Filed under: Salvia miltiorrhiza (redroot sage)
Lineage: Eukaryota; Viridiplantae; Streptophyta; Magnoliopsida; Lamiales; Lamiaceae
Description: long non-coding RNA (SMIL_LNC008999)
Source: RNAcentral
UGGAAACCGCCAUAACGUGAAAACGGUAAACCACUUGUAAGUGGUAAUUCAGGUACUUCGCUGAACUUUAUCUCGUGGAAGCAUGUGAGCAUGAGGGGGGAGUAUUAUGCUUUAUCACUAGGCAAAAUUAUGAUCUUAGGGUAUUUUAUGGGAAUAUGUAAGCAUGAUAGGGAUUUGGGAAACAUUCUACUUCUUUAUUUGGGCAAAAUCAUGACUUAUAUGAUCUUUGAUGUAAUCACAACAUCAUCUUGGAAGCUGCACAACUUCUGCAUAUGUGCUUAGACUUGAAAUAUGACGUUAUUAAUAAACGAAGCUGCACACCUUCUGCAUAUGUGCUAGGGCUUGAAAUGCAACUUGAAUUAUGUUACUUGGG